CUUCCCGGUUUGGAGAGAGUGGGGCUUGUGAAAGGCAAUACCUGGUAACCAAGGUGUCUCUAUGAAGUCAGCAGGUCCGCUUAAUAUUUCAACAACGUUUCUUCCAUCUUCUGUCUCCAUUGCUGGGCGAAGUUCAGUGCUCAGUCCUCAACAUGUUGAAAUAUAUAACCGCUGUCUAGUCACAAGGAAAACAUCAGACAAAUCCCAGCUGAGGGACGCUCUGCACAACACCCGAGUAGUCCUCAAAACUGUCAAGAUUGUCCAAGACAACGGAAGCCUGAGCCACUCACAGCCAAGCGAGGCCAGGACGACACGACGACUGAAAGUACCCUGGGAUUCUGCGUGGGAUCCUGAAACGGGGCGGGCAUUAGGGGAAAACUAAAGAAACUGGAAUAGAGUAUGGAUUUUAGUUACUGAUACUGUGCCAGCAUAGGUCCAUUAAUUGUGACUGUCCAUGCUAAUGUAAGAACCUGGGUGCAGGUGCAUGGGACUCUCUAUAUUACCCUCUCCAUUGUUUGGUAAAUCUAAAACUGUUCUAAAAAAUAAAGCCUAUUUGAAAGCAUGUAUUCAUGACAGAAAAUAAACUUUAUUCUGUAAUACUAA
This is a non-coding RNA of Macaca mulatta (Rhesus monkey), 603 nucleotides long. The record is from RefSeq and is a predicted model, not a curated record. Lineage: Eukaryota; Metazoa; Chordata; Mammalia; Primates; Cercopithecidae.